RNAcentral lists this unclassified non-coding RNA (2201 nucleotides) under Hevea brasiliensis (rubber tree). The record is from RNAcentral. Lineage: Eukaryota; Viridiplantae; Streptophyta; Magnoliopsida; Malpighiales; Euphorbiaceae.
UUUUACAUUAAAAAAAAUAACAAUAAUAACUACAACAAAUGUCUGUUGCGUAAAAACAAAUAACUUUUUGUUGCAAGAGCACAAAUUAAAAGCAAAAUCUUAUUCCACAUUUUGUUAAAUUUUCUCAAACAAUCUUUUAAAGCAAUUAUUUACACCGUUUUAUUGUCCAGUCACUUUGAAAAGAUUAGGAAUUAGAAAAGAAAAUGACCCAACGGAAAACGGAAAAAAACAAAUGAUCAACCAACACCCUAACAACUCAAUUCACUCGUAACUCGGACCACUGUUCUCUAGAAUCGUCCUUCCCUGUUGACACCGAGUUUUUGAUAUUCAUCCUGAGACAAGCAAUUCCUCCCAAUUCACCUCUUCUUCUUCCUCUUCUUCCUCUUUCGCUUUCAUCAUUUCCAACAUUCUUCUUGCCUUUUCCCUGGUUUGUUCUCGUCCUGACUUCUCCAAUUGUGAGAAUACUUCCACCGCUCCGGCAGCCUUUGCCAACCCAUUGAAUCUCAAACCACCGAGACUCAAUGCAUACAGCACAGAAACACAACUCUCGCGAGUUGACUGAGCUUCCAACCCACUCUCCUUCAACAUACCCAACAAACGGUCCACCCCACCCGAAUCCAACAUUGCAGCCCGCCCGUCCAGACAUGAUGCCAAGUUACCUAGUAUGAGCAAAACCCGACUCCUCAUUUGACCUGAUUUUAUCAGACCCAAAAGAAUUGGUACUGCCCCGAGUUUAACAAGCCUUGUCUUAUUGCUUUGAACGAGUGAGAGAUGAUAUAAAGCCAAAGCCGAGUCAUGCCGAGUCCACUCACUCUCGGAUCGGACCAAUUGCAGGAGUGGAGGCAGAGCACCCAGAACACCAAUUGCAGUCUUGUUAUGAUCUUCGAGGGCUAAACUGAACAUUGCACCACAGGCAUGCUCUUUCGCCUCUGGGAAUCCCUCCUUCAACACAUCGAUCAGCAUAGGAACAAUCCCGGAUCUCACCAUCUUAACUUUGUUCGCUUUUUCCAGAGAGAGAUUAACCAAAGAGGCAACUGAGUUCACUUGAAUAUUAGUGUAUUUUGAAUUGAUCAAAGAUCGCAGGACUGAGAGUAAUCGAGGAGUGCAGAGCUCCACUCUUGUCUCUUCUUUAGUUCUUGUGAUCUUUCUCAGUGAAAUGAUUGCUUCUUCGAUCUCAUACACUUGUGGGCUUUUGAGUUUUGUGAUCAGCUCUUCUUCUUCAGGGUUAGGGUUGAGGUCUAAGGUUUCCUUAUCUGAGGAGGAUGAAGCAGAAGAGUAGCAACUAUGCGGAGUAGUUAACUGCAGUGGAGGGGUCCAAACGUUGGUUUCCACUGAUUCCUCUGAGCUGGAGGAGAAAUGGGCUGGAGGAAGUGUCAAUUUAGUUGCUGCUUGAUUAAACAUCAUUGAAGGGCUCUGUUUAAUCCUCUGAAUCAAACCUUUCUCUUCUUGUUGGGCGUCCAUUUUUGCACGGACGAGCUUCUCUGCAGAGAAGAAAUCGAGAGCUUUCGGCGGUUCUACAGAGUUCUUGUUGCACCAGUUGAGAAUGGCAGACUUGAGAGCAAGAUUAGGAAUAACACUAGAGAAAUCAGGAGUUGAACCAUCUAUUAGAGUGGGAGUAAAAGAAAGGGUAUAACUGACUUGAACACAAGCGCGCUCAAAGGAGUGACCAGAGGAGACAAUAACAGGGUCAUUCAUUAGACAUUCACAAAUGGGACAAAGAAACUCUCGGGGGAUUUCUUGCUUUGAUAAUCUGCGAAAGGAGAAGACUUUCCAUUUCUGCUUUUCACUUUCUUUCUGGGUUUCAACAAUAACUCCUUUCCUUAAAGGCUUGUGUAUGAUCAGCCUCAUAAGAGCUUCCUGAAACUCCAUGGCGGGGACUCUUCUUUAGCACUGUAGAUCGGAUGUAACAUAUAAAUAAUGCAAGGGGCGUUGCGAGUCCAUGGCUCCAAAAUCAGAUACCUGAGCCAAAAACGGGAACUAGAGUUUCAUUUAGACCAGAGUAGACCAGGCCCAUGGAAGAGAAGAAGAGUUUGUUAGGGUUUGGAUCAUGAAAAUGUGAUUCUGUGAGGUUUGUUCUGAGGUAUGAAUCCUUUGCUUUCGGAAGAUCAAUUUCUCUGGAGUCUAAAGAAAUGUGUUUUUUGCUUGGGGUUUUGUUUCAGGUUCUCUCCUUUCACGUUGAUGGCUAAAUAAUCCAAAGUGGC